This 258-nucleotide ribosomal RNA is filed under the name uncultured bacterium. RNAcentral describes it as "partial 16S ribosomal RNA". It matches the Rfam family "Bacterial small subunit ribosomal RNA", at positions 334 to 588 of the family's 1533-position model. The record is from RNAcentral.
UGCGCCUACGGGGGGCAGCAGUGAGGAAUAUUGGUCAAUGGGCGGAAGCCUGAACCAGCCAAGUCGCGUGAGGGAAUAAGGCCCUACGGGUCGUAAACCUCUUUUGCCGGGGAGCAAGGGCCGGGACGCGUCCCGGCCCGGAGAGUACCCGGAGAAAAAGCAUCGGCUAACUCCGUGCCAGCAGCCGCGGUAAUACGGAGGAUGCGAGCGUUAUCCGGAUUUAUUGGUUUUAAAGGGUGCUUAGGCGUGCUUUUCAGU